Molecule: ribosomal RNA, 729 nt
Filed under: Calamus compsostachys
Lineage: Eukaryota; Viridiplantae; Streptophyta; Magnoliopsida; Arecales; Arecaceae
Description: eukaryotic LSU rRNA
Rfam family: 5.8S ribosomal RNA (bases 292-447)
Source: RNAcentral
CCUGCGGAAGGAUCAUUGCCGAGACCCGACGAGCCAAACCCGCGAACACGUGAACUCAUUGCGCGCCGGAGCGUGUGCGGCCCCGCCGACCCGCUCCGGCGCCAUCGCCCGGACCCCCGCGCCGUCGAGACCGGCGGCUGCGGGGCGGCGGGAGGACCGGACCCGGCGCGGAUGGCGCCAAGGAACCUUGAGCGCGGAGGCGCGCCUUCCGCCCCGCCCCUUGCUCGCAGGGGGCCGGCGUCGUGGGGUGCCGCCUCCGCCGAUGGCAAAGCCUCCGGGCUUUCACGGUACGACUCUCGGCAACGGAUAUCUCGGCUCUCGCAUCGACGAAGAACGUAGCGAAAUGCGAUACGUGGUGCGAAUUGCAGAAUCCCGCGAACCAUCGAGUCUUCGAACGCAAGUUGCGCCCGAGGCCAUCCGGCCGAGGGCACGCCUGCCUGGGCGCCAACCCAAGCGGCGCUCCGCUCCCCCGGGAUCCCUACGGUCCUUGGGGGCUGCCGGACGCGGACGAUGGCCCCCCGCGCCGAGCGCGCGGCGUGCCGAAGAUUGGGCCGCAGGCUGGGCCGGACGCGGCGGGUGGUGGACGCGCCCGCGAUCCCGUCGCCGUGCCUCCGGACCCUGGCCCUUAGGGCCCGCAUCGCCCAGGACCGCCCGCGUCGCCCCGGACCCCGUCCGGGGCGUUGCCCUCGGAACGCGACCCCAGGUCAGGCGGGGCCACCCGCCGAGCUU